Podarcis lilfordi (Lilford's wall lizard) is the source of this 73-nucleotide non-coding RNA. NCBI's taxonomy places the organism in Eukaryota, Metazoa, Chordata, Lepidosauria, Squamata, Lacertidae. The record is from the annotation of a GenBank genome assembly.
UCCUGGGUAGCUCAGAUGGGAGAGCAUGGGACUCUUAAUCUAAGGGUUGUGGGUUUGAGCCCCAUGUUGGGCA